GACGAACGCUGGCGGCGUGCUUAACACAUGCAAGUCGAACGGAAAGGCCCUGCUUUUGUGGGGUGCUCGAGUGGCGAACGGGUGAGUAACACGUGAGUAACCUGCCCUUGACUUUGGGAUAACUUCAGGAAACUGGGGCUAAUACCGGAUAGGAGCUCCUGCUGCAUGGUGGGGGUUGGAAAGUUUCGGCGGUUGGGGAUGGACUCGCGGCUUAUCAGCUUGUUGGUGGGGUAGUGGCUUACCAAGGCUUUGACGGGUAGCCGGCCUGAGAGGGUGACCGGCCACAUUGGGACUGAGGUACGGCGCAGAAUCCUACGGGAGGCAGCAGUGGGGAAUAUUGCACAAUGGGCGGAAGCCUGAUGCAGCAGCGCCGCGUGCGGGAUAACGGCCUACGGGUUGUAAACCGCUUUCGCCUGUGACGAAGCGUGAGUGACGGUAAUGGGUAAAGAAGCACCGGCUAACUACGUG
Molecule: ribosomal RNA, 468 nt
Filed under: uncultured bacterium
Lineage: Bacteria
Description: partial 16S ribosomal RNA
Rfam family: Bacterial small subunit ribosomal RNA
Source: RNAcentral